This is a small nuclear RNA of Pipistrellus kuhlii (Kuhl's pipistrelle), 190 nucleotides long. RefSeq annotates it as U2 spliceosomal RNA. The transcript has a single exon. Lineage: Eukaryota; Metazoa; Chordata; Mammalia; Chiroptera; Vespertilionidae. The record is from RefSeq and is a predicted model, not a curated record.
AUUGCUUCUAGCCUUUUGGCUAAGAUCAAGUGCAGUAUCUGUUCUUAUCAGUUUAAUAUCUGAUACAUCCUCUAUCCGAGGACAAUAUAUUAAAUGGAUUUUUAAAUCUGGGAGUUGGAAUAGGAGCUUGCUCCAUCCAUUCCACGCAUCUACCUGGUAUUGCAGUACCUCCAGAAAAGGAACAAAAAAA